AGCAGCCGCGGUAAUUCCAGCUCCAAUAGCGUAUAUUAAAGUUGUUGCAGUUAAAAAGCUCGUAGUUGAAUUUCGGGGUCAGUAGGUUGGUCAUGCCACUGGUAUGUACUGAUCUUACUGAUUCCUCCUUCCUGAUGAACCGUAAUGCCAUUAAUUUGGUGUUGCGGGGAAACUGGACUGUUACUUUGAAAAAAUUAGAGUGUUUAAAGCAGGCUAACGCUUGAAUACAUUAGCAUGGAAUAAUGAAAUAGGACGUUCGAUCCUAUUUUGUUGGUUUCUAGGAUUGACGUAAUGAUUAAUAGGGAUAGUUGGGGGCAUUAGUAUUCAAUUGUCAGAGGUGAAAUUCUUGGAUUUUAUUGAAGACUAACUACUGCGAAAGCAUUUGCCAAGGAUGUUUUCAUUAAUCAAGAACGAAAGUUAGGGGAUCGAAGACGAUCAGAUACCGUCGUAGUCUUAACCAUAAACUAUGCCGACUAGGGAUCGGGUGAUGUUAAUUUUUAAUGUACUCAUUCGGCGCCUU
RNAcentral lists this ribosomal RNA (520 nucleotides) under uncultured Glomus. RNAcentral's name for it is "SSU rRNA". It matches the Rfam family "Eukaryotic small subunit ribosomal RNA", at positions 569 to 1089 of the family's 1831-position model. Lineage: Eukaryota; Fungi; Glomeromycota; Glomeromycetes; Glomerales; Glomeraceae. The record is from RNAcentral.